AGUGCUGGGCAUUGCCGGCAAACGUCUCGCAGCGGCUGAGGUUUUCCUCCUGCACCGGGCUGCCCACGUUCUCCUCGCUGGGCCCCGAGGCCGCUGCGCCCUCCUGGGAGUUCUGGCUAAGAUCUUCCAGGAUAAAAAGGAAAGUGUAAAUGCUGCCAGCUACUAAUUGCUGUUGAUUCACUCCUUUGUCUCAGAGGAUCUGAGAAGCUGCCAAGGCAGGUUGCACAAAAAAUUAUGGGACAAAAGAGGAACUUCCUGAUCAGAAAGAAGAUUUCGUAGGGCUCGAGUCUCAUGUACACUUGCUGGUUUUGUAUGUCUGAAGAUAGAUCAGCCAUGUAUCCGCUGCCAGUUCCCAGCAAUGACUCUGUUCUUCUGAUGUUGAGCCUGCACAUUUACCA
Molecule: long non-coding RNA, 398 nt
Organism: Pezoporus occidentalis (night parrot)
Lineage: Eukaryota; Metazoa; Chordata; Aves; Psittaciformes; Psittacidae
Exons: 3
Source: RefSeq, a predicted model, not a curated record